ACGCUCGACACCUACGGGAGGCAGCAGUAGGGAAUCUUCCACAAUGGGCGGCAAGCCUGAUGGAGCAACACCGCGUGAGUGAAGAAGGGUUUCGGCUCGUAAAGCUCUGUUGUUGGAGAAGAACGUGCGUGAGAGUAACUGUUCACGCAGUGACGGUAUCCAACCAGAAAGUCACGGCUAACUACGUGCCAACAGCCGCGGUAAUCUGAGCGGGCUGGCAAGGC
This 224-nucleotide ribosomal RNA is filed under the name uncultured bacterium. Its description in RNAcentral is "partial 16S ribosomal RNA". It matches the Rfam family "Bacterial small subunit ribosomal RNA", at positions 328 to 539 of the family's 1533-position model. The record is from RNAcentral.